Molecule: long non-coding RNA, 779 nt
Organism: Nematostella vectensis (starlet sea anemone)
Lineage: Eukaryota; Metazoa; Cnidaria; Anthozoa; Actiniaria; Edwardsiidae
Exons: 2
Source: RefSeq, a predicted model, not a curated record
UUACACCCCUUGCUGAUUUAGUGUCCAUAAUAUAACACCCCCUUGCUGAUAUAGUGUUGAUAAUAUCCAUGAUCCCCACAAUCGACCCCAUGAACGCCACCAUCAUAAUCAUCAUCAUGGGCAUCAUACGCCCCCAUCACACUGCCCGCCACCUCACUGCCUAUCAUCUCAUUGCCCGCCACCAAUGCAACACUACCCGCUCCCACAUGGGGCUACCAUCCCCAAGCACCCUACCCUGGACAUUCACCACAAUCGGGACAGCCCUACUAUCCAGGCAGCCAGCCCCCUCCCCCUAGGGAUGCAUACCCUCCCCCUGACGGGGCAUACCCACAAGCUGGGAGUGUAUACCCAUCCGCACCUGGUGCCUCUGGGGGAUACCCUGGAUAUGGGGCCCAGCCACCCCCUAACAGAUGAGCGAGUUAAACCUACUGACACGUUGAGUAGCAAGGGAGGGGAGGGGGCAGUACUUGGCGGUACUACAGGUGCGUAGGCCAUCAUAAGCAAGUAGCUCAGGUUCACAAUAUGAAACACCACCUCGAUCAUUUUACAUUGUUUUAGACAUCUGCCCUUCCCCCCCCCCCUUCUCCCUCCUUUGCAGAUCUUACUGUUAUGGGUCAAGAAAGAUGCUGUACAAACAACUGCUAUUACAAUUAUUGGCAUUGAAAUAAUUUUUAUUCAAUUUAAUCUUUACAUAAACAAACAUUUUGUGAUUGCAUAUUUUUCUCAUUUAUUGUCUCAAUCAAAUUUUACUUUUAAUAAAAUAUAUUCUAAGGUCAAUC